UACGUAGGUGGCAAGCGUUGUCCGGAUUUACUGGGCGUAAAGGGCGUGCAGGCGGUUUGUUAAGUGCAGGGUGAAAGCUCCCGGCUCAACUGGGAGAGGUCCUUGCAUACUGGCGAACUCGAGGGAGGCAGAGGAAAGUGGAAUUCCCGGUGUAGUGGUGAUAUGCGUAGAUAUCGGGAGGAACACCUGUGGCGAAGGCGGCUCUCUGGACCUGUCCUGACGCUGAGGCGCGAAAGCUAGGGGAGCGAACAGG
RNAcentral lists this ribosomal RNA (253 nucleotides) under uncultured bacterium. RNAcentral describes it as "partial 16S ribosomal RNA". It matches the Rfam family "Bacterial small subunit ribosomal RNA", at positions 524 to 776 of the family's 1533-position model. The record is from RNAcentral.